ACUAGAUGUAUAAUAUCUACAUGAUUAAUAUCAUAUUAUAGCUGAAUCACAUUAAUGUGUGAUUAGCUAUAACAAAUUGUUGUUUUCGCCUUUGGCCUACGUUUCCUGUUAUUUAGGCUUACUUUAUAUUCUGUAUUAAUACCUACAUUACUACAAAUAAAUUAUACUGUAUGUAUAAUUUAUUUAUUCUAUAUUAUUUUAUUUAAAACAAUAUUAUAGCUUUUGGGUUUACUACAAGAAUCAUAAUAUUACGUAAACAUGGUUUUGAAUUUUCACUCUUCAUUACAAAAAUUUUCGCCAUCUGUUGUGUUAAACGUUAAUUAGUAAUUACUAAAUUACCACGGACUAAGAUGUAAUAGAUUAUAUCUUAGUCCGUGGACCGUGGUAAUUAAAUACGUAUUUAAAAUUUAACAUGAAUUUAACAGUUCAUAAUUCUAUUCUUCAGUUAUUUUUCCCGGUAUUUAAAUUACUCCAUACAGUAUCAUUGUUGAUGAAAAAACGGUAACUUUUCUUUUUUAGAUACUAAUGGUGGUCUGUUUUUUAAAUCGCAUUAAUCAUUUUUAGCUGUCGGUUUUUUACUCCUACGUCCCACGUUAAUCUACCCGAAAGAGCUUUCAUUGUGUAGUUGCGGUUUUGAUUUGGGACGUGACAAAAGAGUUAAUCUUUAUAUACAACCACAGAGUUCAAACGCAUGGUCAUAAUAUCUCUAGAACAAUGUCCAUGACAUUUAAUCUAUUUAUAUUAUCAAGUUUGAUCUAUCCCAUGUUACAUUUGCAUACUGGGACAAGGACACGUACAUAAUUUAAGUCAUCCAAGACACUUGACCAACCAAUCACAAAUUUUGUUUUAAUAGCAAUGGUCAAAUAUUUGUUUACAGCAAUGGAUAAAGUGGCUGACCAAAAGGUCUUGAGUACUCCACCUAAAAGGCUGCAGAUAUUCUUAAAACCUGCAUAGUCGUAUAGAGGUUCUAAAACUAAGAAAAGUAGUAUUUAGAUAAACAUAAACUGUAUGUUUUUAGUUAUAUUUCGAAUAACUACUUCAGUAUUGUUUUCUAUUAAUAUUUUAAAAACAAAUAUUGUGUAUAAUUAUCUCCAUUUUGACCUGAUGUUUAAUUUACAUUGCUGUGU
This is a long non-coding RNA of Acyrthosiphon pisum (pea aphid), 1127 nucleotides long. RefSeq lists it as uncharacterized. Lineage: Eukaryota; Metazoa; Arthropoda; Insecta; Hemiptera; Aphididae. The transcript is spliced from 4 exons. The record is from RefSeq and is a predicted model, not a curated record.